RNAcentral lists this ribosomal RNA (117 nucleotides) under Chloroflexota bacterium. Lineage: Bacteria; Bacillati; Chloroflexota. The record is from RNAcentral.
UCUGGUGACGAGAGCGGGGUGGAACCACCCGUUCCCAUCCCGAACACGGAAGUGAAACGCCCCAGCGCCGACGAUACUGUGUUCGCAAGUCCAUGGGAAAAUAGGCCGCCGCCAGGA